GUACAGGGUCCUCCUCCACUCCCUCAUACACUACACAUUUCUGCUCUGUGCUCGGUGUGCUAUUGGAUAGUGGGGUGUUACGCAUUUCCUGGCUUUCUGAGGCACCAAGGCCACCAGCAUCUUCGCCCCACGGUUGCCUCGGCAAUUCAUUCUCUUUGUGUCCACCACUAAGUGAGUCCUCUGAGGAGACUGUCCUCAGGAGAGGCAGAAUAAUAGGCUUUAUUACUGGGGUGGCCCUGAGUGUGUUGUCUUUAAUUGGGAACAGUCUGUGCUUGUUGGUAGAAGCUGGCAAGGGGGUUGGGUCCUUGGCAUGUGAAAGAGCUGUGUCCUUAUCAGCCCCCGUCCAAGAGCCUCUAACGCUGACUUCCUCAGCUGAUGCUUUCCUGGGUCUUCCUCCCAAAACACCUUGUGCUUUUCUUUGUGUUUCCUUCUGUCUGUGCUCCUCCACACCAUUAUGUAAGGCACAUUGUUGUGGCUCUUCUUUCUCUACCUCGGUCUCCUUCUCGUCCUUCUGAUUGUCACCUAAACUCACAUGACUCUUCCCAUCUUCCCGGGGGCCUUCCGUAAACCACAUCUUCUGCUGAUCUUCAAAAGAAGCAAAGGAUUGAUCUGAAGAACUGGUGCUGAAUUUAGCCUUUGUUUGGACGCACGGGGUAAAAUCCGAUUGGCUGUCGCUGUAAAACACAUCCUCCUCCUCAGGGGAAAGGGGUCCUGGGGAGAACUUCUGGCUCACGGGUAGAUUCUGGAACCCCAUUUCUCGCUCAGGCUCUGUCUCUUGGGAGAUGGAUCUCGAGAGCCUCUUCUCCAGCUGACGGGGCUUCAUUUUCUCCGUAGCCUGUCCCGUUUCAGAGUCCCUGUUGCAGAGUUUCAGGGAGAGAUGUUUCCGGGGAAGGUUUUCCCUGGAGUCUGGAUGCCAGCCACCCUCGGAGAGACCCUGCUCUGACUCUCCAUUGGCUUCUUCCUUCUCAUGACUGUUCCUUUCUGCAGCUUCCCCAUUGAUGCUGAAGUGGGUUUUGGAGCUAGCUGAAGGUGAACUGAAGGUCGGGUGGCUGUCUGCAAAGGAUUCU
RNAcentral lists this long non-coding RNA (1067 nucleotides) under Rattus norvegicus (Norway rat). RNAcentral's name for it is "long non-coding RNA NONRATT011324". Lineage: Eukaryota; Metazoa; Chordata; Mammalia; Rodentia; Muridae. The record is from RNAcentral.